UGGGGAAUCUUGCACAAUGGGGGAAACCCUGAUGCAGCGACGCCGCGUGAGCGAUGAAGGUUUUCGAAUCGUAAAGCUCUGUCCUAUGGGAAGAUAAUGACGGUACCAUAGGAGGAAGCCCCGGCUAACUACGUGCCAGCAGCCGCGGUAAUACGUAGGGGGCGAGCGUUGUCCGGAAUUACUGGGCGUAAAGGGUUCGCAGGCGGCAUGACAAGUCCGAUGUAAAAGGCGAAAGCUCAACUUUCGUAAGCAUCGGAAACUGUCAAGCUUGAGGGAAGGAGAGGCAAGUGGAAUUCCUAGUGGAGCGGUGGAAUGCGUAGAUAUUAGGAGGAAUACCGGUGGCGAAGGCGACUUGCUGGACUUCAACUGACGCUGAGGAACGAAAGCGUGGGUAGCAAACAGG
RNAcentral lists this ribosomal RNA (403 nucleotides) under bacterium. RNAcentral describes it as "partial 16S ribosomal RNA". It matches the Rfam family "Bacterial small subunit ribosomal RNA", at positions 355 to 776 of the family's 1533-position model. The record is from RNAcentral.